This 1376-nucleotide ribosomal RNA is filed under the name uncultured Gammaproteobacteria bacterium. RNAcentral's name for it is "bacterial SSU rRNA". It matches the Rfam family "Bacterial small subunit ribosomal RNA", at positions 29 to 1394 of the family's 1533-position model. Lineage: Bacteria; Pseudomonadati; Pseudomonadota; Gammaproteobacteria. The record is from RNAcentral.
UUGAACGCUGGCGGCAGGCCUAACACAUGCAAGUCGAACGGUAACAGGAAGAAGCUUGCUUCUUUGCUGACGAGUGGCGGACGGGUGAGUAAUGUCUGGGAAACUGCCUGAUGGAGGGGGAUAACUACUGGAAACGGUAGCUAAUACCGCAUAACGUCGCAAGACCAAAGAGGGGGACCUUAGGGCCUCUUGCCAUCGGAUGUGCCCAGAUGGGAUUAGCUAGUAGGUGGGGUAAAGGCUCACCUAGGCGACGAUCCCUAGCUGGUCUGAGAGGAUGACCAGCCACACUGGAACUGAGACACGGUCCAGACUCCUACGGGAGGCAGCAGUGGGGAAUAUUGCACAAUGGGCGCAAGCCUGAUGCAGCCAUGCCGCGUGUAUGAAGAAGGCCUUCGGGUUGUAAAGUACUUUCAGCGGGGAGGAAGGUGUUGUGGUUAAUAACCACAGCAAUUGACGUUACCCGCAGAAGAAGCACCGGCUAACUCCGUGCCAGCAGCCGCGGUAAUACGGAGGGUGCAAGCGUUAAUCGGAAUUACUGGGCGUAAAGCGCACGCAGGCGGUCUGUCAAGUCGGAUGUGAAAUCCCCGGGCUCAACCUGGGAACUGCAUUCGAAACUGGCAGGCUUGAGUCUCGUAGAGGGGGGUAGAAUUCCACGUGUAGCGGUGAAAUGCGUAGAGAUCUGGAGGAAUACCGGUGGCGAAGGCGGCCCCCUGGACGAAGACUGACGCUCAGGUGCGAAAGCGUGGGGGAGCAAACAGGAUUAGAUACCCUGGUAGUCCACGCCGUAAACGAUGUCUAUUUGGAGGUUGUGCCCUUGAGGUGUGGCUUCCGGAGCUAACGCGUUAAAUAGACCGCCUGGGGAGUACGGCCGCAAGGUUAAAACUCAAAUGAAUUGACGGGGGCCCGCACAAGCGGUGGAGCAUGUGGUUUAAUUCGAUGCAACGCGAAGAACCUUACCUGGUCUUGACAUCCACAGAACUUUCCAGAGAUGGAGGGGUGCCUUCGGGAACUGUGAGACAGGUGCUGCAUGGCUGUCGUCAGCUCGUGUUGUGAAAUGUUGGGUUAAGUCCCGCAACGAGCGCAACCCUUAUCCUUUGUUGCCAGCGGUUAGGCCGGGAACUCAAAGGAGACUGCCAGUGAUAAACUGGAGGAAGGUGGGGAUGACGUCAAGUCAUCAUGGCCCUUACGACCAGGGCUACACACGUGCUACAAUGGCGCAUACAAAGAGAAGCGAACUCGCGAGAGCAAGCGGACCUCAUAAAGUGCGUCGUAGUCCGGACUGGAGUCUGCAACUCGACUCCAUGAAGUCGGAAUCGCUAGUAAUCGUGGAUCAGAAUGCCACGGUGAAUACGUUCCCGGGCCUUGUACUCACCGCC